UUUGUCUCUUUCUAUGCAGGGAAAGUGGAGACUCAGAGUGUUUAAGUGACCUGCCUAAGGCACGGAGCUGGCAGCAGAGGUUGGCCCACACCCCAGCUUCCGACUGUCGCUCUCUUCUACAGGUUCAUCGUUAAUAAAACUUGGUUUUCCAGCAUUUCGCUGCCCCAGGAGGGCAGUGGGCCCCCUGUCCAAUUCAUCAACUGCCUAAUGAGCGGCCCCGGAGGUCCCGGCCCGUCCAUUCCAGAAGCUCUCUCUGCCUUGUAAAGCCGCCCACCUCGAGCCCAGAAGAGCAGGAGCGCAGAGGGGCGGUUAUGCUUACGGUGCCUGCAGGACAAGACAAAGUGGAAAGCUGCUCUUUGUCACCCACCCGGCCCCGAUGGCAGCUAACAGACCUCAUCCACACAAUUGGCUGGGACUCGACUCCCUUGUAACACCAGGUCCCUCUUCUGCAGUCUCUGUGCACUCGUGGAGGAGCAGUGUGGAGGGUCUCUGAGGCCAGGGGGAGCACCAGCAUCAGCCAGCACCUCCGUUCUUCGACAGAGGGAAGACGCGAUUGCGUGGCUCUCAGCAGUGACAUCAGAGUGUCCACGUGCCCCCGACCGUGUGCCCCAGCUGUAUGCAU
Molecule: long non-coding RNA, 622 nt
Filed under: Canis lupus familiaris (dog)
Lineage: Eukaryota; Metazoa; Chordata; Mammalia; Carnivora; Canidae
Description: lncRNA (ENSCAFG00845004213.1)
Source: RNAcentral